Molecule: long non-coding RNA, 328 nt
Filed under: Setaria viridis
Lineage: Eukaryota; Viridiplantae; Streptophyta; Magnoliopsida; Poales; Poaceae
Description: long non-coding RNA (SVIR_LNC000604)
Source: RNAcentral
ACUUCUCGUGUUGGGUCAGUCCUAGCACAUGUCUCCACAUGUGCCCACGUUAUUAGUUCAACAUCUCCAUGUCGAUGACUUGUGAAACAUAGUCAUCAACUAAUACAUGUGCUAGUCUAAUAUUCAUGUGUGUCCUCACAUGAACUCCGACUAGGAACAACUUUAGAAUAACCAUACAAGUAAAGAGUUUCACAUACAAUUCACAUAAUUGCAAAUCAAUUCAAGUAGCCUUUAAUGGAUAUUCAAGGAACACAAUACAAAUCAUGGAUACAAAUGGAAUAUCAUCAUCUCUAUAAUUGCCUCUAGGGCAUACCUCCAACAGUCUCCC